GUCCCUCGCGGAUGGAGCUGAAAUCAGUCGAAGAUACCAGCUGGCUGCAACUGUUUAUUAAAAACACAGCACUGUGCAAACACGAAAGUGGACGUAUACGGUGUGACGCCUGCCCGGUGCCGGAAGGUUAAUUGAUGGGGUUAGCGCAAGCGAAGCUCUUGAUCGAAGCCCCGGUAAACGGCGGCCGUAACUAUAACGGUCCUAAGGUAGCGAAAUUCCUUGUCGGGUAAGUUCCGACCUGCACGAAUGGCGUAAUGAUGGCCAGGCUGUCUCCACCCGAGACUCAGUGAAAUUGAACUCGCUGUGAAGAUGCAGUGUACCCGCGGCAAGACGGAAAGACCCCGUGAACCUUUACUAUAGCUUGACACUGAACAUUGAGCCUUGAUGUGUAGGAUAGGUGGGAGGCUUAGAAGUGUGGACGCCAGUCUGCAUGGAGCCGACCUUGAAAUACCACCCUUUAAUGUUUGAUGUUCUAACGUUGACCCGUAAUCCGGGUUGCGGACAGUGUCUGGUGGGUAGUUUGACUGGGGCGGUCUCCUCCUAAAGAGUAACGGAGGAGCACGAAGGUUGGCUAAUCCUGGUCGGACAUCAGGAGGUUAGUGCAAUGGCAUAAGCCAGCUUGACUGCGAGCGUGACGGCGCGAGCAGGUGCGAAAGCAGGUCAUAGUGAUCCGGUGGUUCUGAAUGGAAGGGCCAUCGCUCAACGGAUAAAAGGUACUCCGGGGAUAACAGGCUGAUACCGCCCAAGAGUUCAUAUCGACGGCGGUGUUUGGCACCUCGAUGUCGGCUCAUCACAUCCUGGGGCUGAAGUAGGUCCCAAGGGUAUGGCUGUUCGCCAUUUAAAGUGGUACGCGAGCUGGGUUUAGAACGUCGUGAGACAGUUCGGUCCCUAUCUGCCGUGGGCGCUGGAGAACUGAGGGGGGCUGCUCCUAGUACGAGAGGACCGGAGUGGACGCAUCACUGGUGUUCGGGUUGUCAUGCCAAUGGCACUGCCCGGUAGCUAAAUGCGGAAGAGAUAAGUGCUGAAAGCAUCUAAGCACGAAACUUGCCCCGAGAUGAGUUCUCCCUGACUCCUUGAGAGUCCUGAAGGAACGUUGAAGACGACGACGUUGAUAGGCCGGGUGUGUAAGCGCAGCGAUGCGUUGAGCUAACCGGUACUAAUGAACCGUGAGGCUUAACCUU
Molecule: ribosomal RNA, 1181 nt
Filed under: Escherichia coli
Lineage: Bacteria; Pseudomonadati; Pseudomonadota; Gammaproteobacteria; Enterobacterales; Enterobacteriaceae
Also listed under: 1 other name
Description: partial 23S ribosomal RNA
Rfam family: Bacterial large subunit ribosomal RNA
Source: RNAcentral